This 481-nucleotide ribosomal RNA is filed under the name Aeromonas veronii. Its description in RNAcentral is "bacterial SSU rRNA". It matches the Rfam family "Bacterial small subunit ribosomal RNA", at positions 56 to 524 of the family's 1533-position model. Lineage: Bacteria; Pseudomonadati; Pseudomonadota; Gammaproteobacteria; Aeromonadales; Aeromonadaceae. The record is from RNAcentral.
UGCAAGUCGAGCGGCUGAGGGAAACUUGCUUGCUACUUUUGCCGGCGAGCGGCGAACGGUGGAUAAAUGCCUGGGGGUCUGCCCGGUCCAGGGGGAUAACUGCUGCGAACGGUCCCUAAACCCGCUUACGCCCUAAGGGGGAAAGCAGGGGACCUUGGGCCCUUGCACGAUCGUAUGAACCCUUGUGGGAUUAGCUGGUUGGUGAGGUAAUGGCUCACCAAUGCGACAAUGCCUAGCUGGGCUGAGAGGAUGAUCAGCCACACUGGCACUGACCCACCUCCCACACUCCGACGGGAGGCAGAAUUGGGGAAAAUGGCCCAAUGCGGGAAACCCUGAUGCAGCCUUGCCGAGUGAGGGAAGAAGGCCUUCGGGUUGUUAAGCACUUUCGGAAAGGAGGAAAGGUUGUACCUUAAUAACUGCCCGUUGCCACCUUACUAACAAAAGAAGCACCGUGUAACUCCGUGCCAGGAGCCACGGUAAU